RNAcentral lists this ribosomal RNA (667 nucleotides) under Roseovarius sp. I 8.30. RNAcentral's name for it is "bacterial SSU rRNA". It matches the Rfam family "Bacterial small subunit ribosomal RNA", at positions 85 to 787 of the family's 1533-position model. The record is from RNAcentral. Lineage: Bacteria; Pseudomonadati; Pseudomonadota; Alphaproteobacteria; Rhodobacterales; Roseobacteraceae.
CUUCGNGUGAGCGGCGGACGGGUUAGUAACGCGUGGGAACGUACCCUUUUCUACGGAAUAGCCAUUGGAAACGAUGAGUAAUACCGUAUACGCCCUUCGGGGGAAAGAUUUAUCGGAGAAGGAUCGGCCCGCGUUAGAUUAGAUAGUUGGUGGGGUAAUGGCCUACCAAGUCUACGAUCUAUAGCUGGUUUUAGAGGAUGAUCAGCAACACUGGGACUGAGACACGGCCCAGACUCCUACGGGAGGCAGCAGUGGGGAAUCUUAGACAAUGGGCGCAAGCCUGAUCUAGCCAUGCCGCGUGAGUGAUGAAGGCCUUAGGGUCGUAAAGCUCUUUCGCCAGGGAUGAUAAUGACAGUACCUGGUAAAGAAACCCCGGCUAACUCCGUGCCAGCAGCCGCGGUAAUACGGAGGGGGUUAGCGUUGUUCGGAAUUACUGGGCGUAAAGCGUACGUAGGCGGAUUANAAAGUUAGGGGUGAAAUCCCAGGGCUCAACCCUGGAACUGCCUCUAAAACUACUAGUCUAGAGUUCGAGAGAGGUGAGUGGAACUCCGAGUGUAGAGGUGAAAUUCNUAGAUAUUCGGAAGAACACCAGUGGCGAAGGCGGCNCACUGGCUCGAUACUGACGCUGANGUACAAAANUGUGNGGAGCAAACAGGAUUANAUACNC